AACAUUAUGCACGUCCCAGAUGCCUUAGAGGCCGAUAUGAGAAAUAAGAAGCAUCUGGACGAAUUAGUUCUGGAAUGGGGAGGCAAGUCUGGUGAGACAGACGAUACUCAAAGAGAGAGAGAGAGAGAUGUUUUGGAGAACCUCCAACCUCAUAUAAAUGUCAAGAGCUGUCAAUUCGAUCUUAUUGGGGCACAAGAUUUCCAGGUUGGUUAGAACAUUAUUCUAAUCUGGUUCAUCUUGAACUUCGGGAUUGCGCAAAUUGUUGGUGCCUACCAUCAUUAGAGCAGCUACACUCCCUUCAAAAGCUUUACAUUCGAGGAUUUAAUGGAGAGCUGAAUGUGGGUUCGAAGCCUAUUCAUAAUCUUCUAAAGCUUUGGCUGAUUUCUUGUCCCGAGGUAACCGGGACAUUUAUGUUUGAAAACUUCCCAAAGCUUGAAUACUUCUUCUUGAGUAAUGUCAAUGUAGAAUCUCUACAUUCUUCUGCACUCCUCGCCCUUGUUGGGCUUGAUAUAUCUAAUUGUCCAAACUUUGUUUGUUUUCCCAAUGGAGGGCUGGAUGCGCCCAACUUGAGGUACCUCACAGUGGAAAGCUGUCAGAAACUGAGAUCAUUGCCACAAGACAUGCACAACCUUCUCCCAUCUCUCAGGCACUUAUGGCUGACAGAAUGUCCGGAAUUGGAAUCAUUCCCUGAAGGGGGAAUGCCGUCUAAGCUUGAACACUUAGACAUCAGUUGCUGCAAGAAACUCAUUGAAAACCGAAUGCAAUGGGGUCUACAAACACUCACCUCCCUCAAAUACUUUCGCAUUGAUUAUUUGGGAUGUGAACAGUUAGUUGAUUCAUUUCCAGAUGAGGGGAUGCUGCCCACCACUUUCUCAAACCUCGAUGUCCGCGGUAUAUCGAACCUGGGCGGCAAGGGGUUUACAGAACUCACCUUUCUUAAGACUUGAGUAUUGCUGGUUGCCUUAAACUACGGUGCUUGCCAGAUGAACGGCUACACACUUCCCUUAAUUAUCUAGCUAUCAGUGGUUGUCCACUACUAGAACAACGUUGCCAGAGAGAGACAGGGGAAGAUUGGCCCACGAUUUCUCAUAUCAGGAGCAUUGAAAUCAAUUACAUAUAUAUAUGACGUGCAAUGGUGCAUGCAGGCUUUUGUUUUGUACAAAACAGAAAAUGUGUGAAAAAGUUUCUUGCUAAUGCCCGAUUCGUCAUGCCUACGCAUUUUUCAAGUUCCAUGGACUUUAGGAUUGCAUUAAGUCUUCAUUCCGCACCAAAUCAGAACAUUUUAACUUUGGAUAUAUGAACUAUGAAGCAGUGAUUACAAUAAUGCAAUUGCUGUUUCCCUGGUUGAUUCACUUAGUAUCCAGUUCUGAACUACUCAAGCAGUUCAAGGAUUCUCUCCUCUCAUGAAUGGCAGGGGAAUGUUUGCUGCUGUAUAUAGGUUAUUGUUUUUUCUAACAAAACCGUGACAAUCAAGAUGUGUACCAAAAAAUUUUCUGGUAAUCCUUGAUUCAUCCAAUGUCUGUACAUUGAUCUAGUUUGAUGGAUUAUAAAUGUCAAUAGGUUUCAUCAUGAGAUAGAUGCAAUGUGUGUUAAACCUAAACUGCGAGCAUCGGCAAAAAUGACGAACAUGUUUUUCUUAAACAAAUGUUAGACGAAACCUUUACAUACAUAAAUGAAAAAUGGUUUUGUUCAAGUAUGCUUGCUGUUGUGGAC
Long non-coding RNA from Argentina anserina (silverweed cinquefoil), 1713 nucleotides. RefSeq lists it as uncharacterized. The record is from RefSeq and is a predicted model, not a curated record. The transcript has 5 exons. NCBI's taxonomy places the organism in Eukaryota, Viridiplantae, Streptophyta, Magnoliopsida, Rosales, Rosaceae.